Molecule: ribosomal RNA, 468 nt
Filed under: uncultured bacterium
Lineage: Bacteria
Description: partial 16S ribosomal RNA
Rfam family: Bacterial small subunit ribosomal RNA
Source: RNAcentral
GACGAACGCUGGCGGCGUGCUUAGCACAUGCAAGUCGAACGGAAAGGCCCUGCUUUUGUGGGGUGCUCGAGUGGCGAACGGGUGAGUAACACGUGAGUAACCUGCCCUUGACUUUGGGAUAACUUCAGGAAACUGGGGCUAAUACCGGAUAGGAGCUCCUGCUGCAUGGUGGGGGUUGGAAAGUUUCGGCGGUUGGGGAUGGACUCGCGGCUUAUCAGCUUGUUGGUGGGGUAGUGGCUUACCAAGGCUUUGACGGGUAGCCGGCCUGAGAGGGUGACCGGCCACAAUGGGACUGAGAUACGGCCCAGACUCCUACGGGAGGCAGCAGUGGGGAGUAUUGCACAGUGGGCGGGAGCCUGAUGCAGCAACGCCGCGUGCGGGAUGACGGCCUUCGGGUUGUGAACCGCUUUCGCCUGUGACGAAGCGUGAGUGACGGUAAUGGGUAAAGAAGCACCGGCUAACUACGUG